CGAGUCUUGACCAUAAUGAAAAAAAUAUCCACGAAGUUGGUUUUGCAGUCGACCACUUGCAGCGCUCGCAGCGAUCGAUUUGAAGCGCACGUGAACGGCCCACAACAAAUGUCCACUGCCAUUCUCUCUCCAUCCUUCCGGCUUCUAUUUUUUAUCCUUCCUUUCCCUUCCUCUUUUCUCCCUUCUUUUUUCUCUAGCUAGACCCACAACUGUAGUACAGACGGGAGCGGAGGCGGCGGAGCACGGAGACGCGGGUGGCUGGCGCGGUGCAGCUCGUGGGGGCGGAGCGGCGUAUCCCGCCGGGGAGCGUGGGGUAACUCCGCUCGCUUAGCCACCCAGGGGAAUGGCGGCGAGCGCUGCCCGCGGGGAAGCGGCGGCCAGUUCCUCGCGGCUGCGGUCCCCCCUCCCCCCCGCCCCCUUGCGAGCGCUGCCCACGGGGAAGCGGCGGUGGCCCCGGUGAGCUCCGCGCGGCUGCGGCCCCCCGGCGAGCGCUGCCCGCGGGGAAGCGGCGGUGGCCUGGCGAGCUCCGCGCGGCUGCGGCCCCUCGGCGAGCUCAUCCAUAUCGGUGGCGGUGCCGCCGCUUUUUUCUUUUUCUUUUAUUUAUUUAUGGCUAUAAUAUUAGCUCUCCGUGUUUUCCAGAGUUUGUUCUCCUUUUUUUUCAUUCCCAAGUUUUGCUCAAACAAUUUUUUGGAAUUUUGUUCAUAAUUUUUUCUUCCAAAAGUUUGUUGCAAAAUUUCUCCUCUUUCCCAAAAAGUUUGUUCCCCAAAUUUUUUUCCUUCAUUUAUGUUUCUGAACAUUUUGUUUACAUAAUUUUGUUUCAUUUUCGUCAAAAAAAUUAUAUUCUAAUUUUUUUUUGCAAAAUAUAUGUUGCGAAUAAUUUUUGUCAUAUAUAUUUUCUAAAAAAAUUUGCUUGUAAAUGUGCCCAAAAUUUGAGGAUCGAAACUCCAAGAGGAUAACAAUUCUGUGUGAGGGAACCGCAUGGGUCAGGUGGGACCAAGGUGGCGCACUUGAGGAUGAAGCAGAGUAAAAAGGGGAAUGAGGCGUCGGCGUGAUACCGAAAAGGAAAGAAAACGUCCGGUCGGAAAUCGACCGUAAGUUUUGUUUUUUUACGGGCGAUCGUAAACUAGCUUUGCCCGGGCUGUUUGCAUUAAUAUUAAUAUAUAAUUAAUAGGUUCAAACUCUUCCUGUUCCUUUUUAAAAAAUACCUGCUGCAAAGCAUUUAUACUUGCAGUGGGUCAUGCCAAGAAGAUCCGAAUAAUUUUUGCUGAUGGUAUAAAAAAAUUUGUUGAUGGGCCAUGAAUAUUUUGUUUUAAUGGAUCCGCGUGGGUAGCAAGAUUCGCACAAAUAACCCUGCGAAUACACGGCCAGUCACAGCGAAUGGGCUUAAUACGUUCUCGAACGGAA
RNAcentral lists this long non-coding RNA (1404 nucleotides) under Panicum hallii. RNAcentral describes it as "long non-coding RNA (PHAL_LNC000963)". The record is from RNAcentral. Lineage: Eukaryota; Viridiplantae; Streptophyta; Magnoliopsida; Poales; Poaceae.